UUGCAAUUAUAUCACAUUGUUUAUUUCUUUAUUUAUCUUAUCAUCAUUAUUACUAAUACAAAAUAAUUUGUACAAAGGCUAAAGUAAGUAUUGCAUAGAAGGAACACAGGAGUAAAUACAAUCUGGAUGGAAUGGCACAUUAAAUUCUAAAAUCUAACACAUCAAAAGUUCUUAAUUUACUAGGGCAUUUUAUACAAAAAUAUCUCACCGUCUCAUAUAGGUGGUUAAAAUGUAACAUCACCAAAUGGCAGAAUUACAACAACAAAAAACACUUUUUAAACCUUUAUUGCAUUGCCAUCAAUUAAUACAGAUAUAUUUGAUAAAAUAGGAGUCUGUGCCAGUAUGUUAAAUAUGAUAUGUGUAUGAGUUUUAACUAUUGGGAUGUCUCUGCCUCCCAACAGUAAUCCUACAAACAAAACAAUAAAAAUGCAUAUUUCUAUACAUAAGGGCUUUUAACCCAAUACAUGGAACAUUUAAAUAUAUGCGGCUCCCAAAAAUAAAAAAUUUAAAUUCAAUCAGUUUCCUGUGUUCUUAGACUUGAGUGAUUUUUAGUUAUUUUGUUCUGCAAAAUCAAGUAGCUAUAUGCAAGUAUAUUCUUGUAACUACACCACCGCACAGGAAAAAGCCUUACUAUCGAAUGAGACAAUGAACAUAUUUGAUUAACAAAUCAGAGGGCCAAGCAUGAAAGGAACACCCUUUUUAAAUAAAAGUAUAUCCCAUUAGAUAAUGCUUUCAAUAUACCUCAGCUAAUUGUUAUUAAAGAAUAUCAUUUAACAUGAGAACAAUUUGUGCUAUACACUGCAAUGCUAAAUAAAAUACUGUUUUUCUCUGCUGACUUUUAAAUGUUAAGCAAAUUAACUCAGAUACCUUUUGGAUGAGAGACUCCCAAGUCAAUGACAAAGUAAUUUCUGAAAGUGACAGUAAUUGUUAACCAUCACUUCAUCAUUAAGAAGAAAAAAAAUACAUAAUAACCAUUUAUACUACAGUUCUUUGGCAACUUAAUUUGCACUUAGAAUUCAAAUGUGCUAAAACAGUUUUUAUUUAACUUGCAAUAUUUCAGACUAUUCAGCCUUGAUUAUUUCAUAAAUAAAAAAACGGAAAAACAAAUAUGAAUACUGUCCGUAAACUAUUACAGGGGGAAAAUGUGUAUUUUUUUUAAGAUGGCUAUUCUUACAUAAAUAUGGAAAAAUGUAAGUGAUAGUGAUGUCCCGAACUGUUCGCCGAACAGUUCGCCAUGAACGGUUCGCCAUGGACUCCAGUCAGCAGACACAUUCCAGCCAAUCAGCAGCAGACCCUUCCUCUCAGACCCUCCCACCUCCUGGACAGCAUCCAUUUUAAAGUUGCAUUCUUAGUGAGCUGUCCAGGAGGUGGGAGGGUCUACUGCUGAUUGGCUGGAAUGUGUCUGCUGACUGGAGUCCGCGGCAAACCUUUCGUGGCGAACCGUUCGCGAACAGUUCGUGGCGAACCGUUCGCGAACAGUUCGGCGAACAGUUCGGCGAACAAUUCGGGACCUCACUAGUAAGUGAUAAAAUGUAUAUUGAACAACUAAAUCUUAAAAUCAUCUUAGUGUCACACUCAGCAUUCUUAAGGGGGCUUUCAUAUCCAGUUAUUAUUAAAAUGAUGUUUAUUUAUCCAUAUAUUUAACAAAUAUGCAUUUGUGAGACAAAGCAAAUAAAAUGAAAUUUAGAAAUCCACAUUUUAACCUGCCCCUGGGUGUCUCCUUAUUGGCUCCCUGCCAAUCCAUUAACAUAAGCACUGUCCUUUGCACCUAGCAGUCAUCAUAGAGAAAGCAUACAGAGGAGAUAUGACACAAUGCUUCUAUUUCUCAUCUUAAUUUGCAAUGCAUGUCCUGUGCUUGCUUUAUCCAAACUGGAUUAUGAUGUAAUUUGCUAAAUAUUUAAUGCAUAUUUAAAAGAAAAAGGAGUAUCUGAUAAAAUGGUUAACAUAAUUUGUUGGGGAGUUUCAAUGUUUUGUUCAAUGGUAUAAGUUCCAAUGACAGUUUCGCUUUCAAAUACUUUAGGAAUAAUUGUAAACAGCAUUCAAUAUAUGAUCUUACAAUGAAAUAAUAAUGAACUCAAUCAAAUUGAAUAGUAAGAGAAUUAAGAUUCUGAUAUAAUAUUUAGUAGAGUUUCCCUGUAUUUUGUACAUACAAUGUAGAUUGCUGUCACAUGAAAAAUAGCAAAAUGUGGUAAAUAAAAAAAAAUGUAAAAAAAGAUUGCAAGUAUUAAAAGUGGAGCCAAUAAUACCAAAUGUGUAAAGUAUUUCUUUGUUAUUACUAGAAAGAAGAAUUGCAUAAGCUGAAUUUGCACUGUGGGCUAUCAUAUAGCCAAUCACAGACUGAAACUCUCCUCGUCAUUAUUGAUUGUACACAGUGUUCUAUUUUAAAAUGCUGACAUUCAGACGCACGCUUUAUUUUUAUAUGAACUACAUGAAUAAAAAAUGUAUAUUUAAUGUAAUUCCAACAAAGGUUUAAACCUGUUACAUCUUAUAGCAGUUAUAUACAAAAAUAAUGUACACAUAACAUGUCAAUCAAAUUCUGAAAUAACUUGCUGACUUUUGUUCAUUCAGUCUUAAUAGUAGAGUAUUUGGUUACUUAAAUGCAUUUCACUAUCAGCCUUUUUUCACUAUAUGAAAUAAAUUUUUUGGCAGAUUUAAUAUAUUCGAUUUAAAAUACAAUGAUUAGAUUUAAACAAAAGUUCAAGCAACAGAUUCAACUGAAAAAAAAUUAAUGAUAACUAUCCUGCACCUUCAUAGCACCUUCAUACAGUAGCAUUGAAGCAAAUAUAAUUAAUUAAUAUAAUGUACUAAGAGGAAUGGUUUUAAUGUGAGAGUGUAGAACCGUAGAAGCAGCAAACGCAGUAUUUUCUUGUAACGUAUUUUAUUAAGAAAAAAUAAGUAAUAAAGGUCUCCAGCAUGAGUUAAUUGCAUUUUUAAUUGAAAAAAAAAUAUUUUCAUUUUAUUUCCAUAAUUAUAAGAAAUUAAGUCAUUGUUUUAAUAUCAUAUAAUUGGGAUUUAAAGGACAGUUUAUUAUUUAGCAUUUUUUAUUUACAUGAUUUUUAUGUUGACAAUGCUGACGUAGGCACAGUUCAGAUAUUGAAUCAAUAAGAAUAUAAUGAAAAACACUGUAAUAGCACCUAGUCAAGUGCAGAUUAUUAUUAGGGGGUACAAUGGAAAUAAGCAACGAGUAUAAUUUCAGCGAGGCAGCAGCAAAUCUUACAAGGACAUUGUGUCCAACACGCAAAGACAAAAAAUAUAUAUAUAGAAGAGCUACACCAAUUCCACACAAAAUACUUCUGUGAGAUAAUAAUUCAAAAUACAUACAUAAGUACUCCCAAAUUGAUUGGUUAUACAGGUGAAUGGCUCAGCACAUGCAUACAGAACAAUAGACAUACUCCACCAUUGGAUUCCUUUUUCUGCUUGAUUUUCCAUAAAGUAAAGGAUAAGCCAUUAUAUGAUGAAUACAUUGCUAUCUAUUGGCAUAUAUCCAAGUGCACGGAUUAUAGCAGUGUUUCCCAAACCAGUCCUCAAGGCACAUCUACCAGUCCAGGAUUUAGGGAUUACACAGUUCUGGUUUGUUGCACAACUGGGUAAUCUCUAAAUCCUGGUGGUAGAGGGACCUUGAGGACUGGUGUGGAAUCUACUGGAAUAUUCCAUCCAAGCUGCCCAUAUUUGAGCUUGGAUUGGCUCUCCACAGCAUGAGUGACACGACUCAAUUUCACAUAUUUAUGCAUUGUCCUAUAGUUGGUUUCUGUAUUUUAUUUUGCACUUGUUCAGACACUUCUGUAUAACCCAACUAUUUUGAAGUACUUAUAUGUGUAUUUUGAUUACCUCACAGAGGUAUUUUGUGUGGAAUUGGCACUGUUCUUCUGCAUAUAUAUUUUUAUGAUUAGGGGGUAGUCUCAAGGGCCCCAACACUUUUAUAGAGUUAUGUAUAAUUCACUGUUUUCUCCAUUUUCAUAUGUGUUGAGUUACUUAGUAAACUACCUGCUGUUGGGUGUUAUUUUUACUGUGCUAGGGUUCGGAGCAACUACAUCAACACGGUCAGUAGCUUUGACCAGUUUUUCAAAACUGUUAAUCAAGUUCUGCUAAAGUGUGAUACAUUUCUUCCAACUUAUUAGCAAAUGGUAUUACCUUAUUCUUAAAACACUGAAGUAGUAACAUAUUGAAAACAGAGUGCAAAAAAAUAUAUAUCACAAUAACAUUCUAGAUUAUUUCCAAUAUCUGUUCUCCAGAGAUGCUACAUGGAGGCACACAACAGAAAAAGUACAAAAUCAUUACAAACUAAUCAUUUGCAUUAAAUGUAAGUUUGGAGUUCCUUGUAACCUAUGUAGAGGAAUAAUUUGAUUCAAUUAUAACAAUAUUAAAAACAAAUUUCAAUGUUUCGGCAGCUAGAAAAACUAUUGGGUGGAAGACAGGGACGUUUUAGCCGCGAGGCAAACAAGGCAUUUGCCAUGGGCGUAAUUUUUCAGGGGGCGGCAAAAAAAGCCGCCCCCAAAUGCCGAGUGCAAAUGUCUUGUUAGCCUUGCGGCUAACAGUCUAGGCAGGCAGGCGGACGGUCGGGCGGCGCUGGCGAGGGAGCACUUUCCCCUGAGCUGUCUGCUCAGCUC
Molecule: long non-coding RNA, 4607 nt
Filed under: Pelobates cultripes (western spadefoot toad)
Lineage: Eukaryota; Metazoa; Chordata; Amphibia; Anura; Pelobatidae
Source: RNAcentral